CUGUAUUCUGUGUCUACUUAUUAGCUAUGAUAUGUUGUUUAGGAAUAACAAAGGACACUUCUUUUUCUGGGCAGUUUUUUGACCCAGGUCUGUACAUCAACAUGUAAUUGAACCAAGUUAAGAAAACAGAUCAAAGAACUUGUUUAGCUGAUAGUCGUUUAGCUUCUCCUAUAUAAGAUAAUUGUUUGUGAUCUAUUAAGAUGAUUAUAGGAUGCAAAGUCCUUCCAACAGGUGUUUCCAUUCUUUCAAAGCCAAUAUGAUUGCAAGCAAGUCCAUGUCUCCUAUGUCCUAUCUUUUUUCAGUGUUAGACAACUUUUUAGACUAGAAUCCACAGGAUACACUAUUGCUCCUGUACCUGUCUCAGAGGCAUCUACCCUUUAGUAGAAAUGGUAAGUUAGUGUCAGGAUGAACCAAUAUGGGAGCCGAUGCAAAUGAUUCCUUUAGGGUUUCGAAAGCAUCAGAUGUCCACAUUUUGGAAUUAGCACCUUUUUUAGUCACACUGGUGAUAGGCGCUACUAUAGACAAAAACCUCUUUAUAAUACGUCUAUAGUAGUUGGAAAAACCUAUGAAUCUUUGUAUCACUUUAAGCCCAUUGGGUAAAGGCCACUUGAGUAUGGUUUCUAACUCUGUAGGGUCAACAGCAAAACCAUUUCCCGAUAUGAUAUAUCUGAGAAAACAAAUUUGCGACUGAUCAAAAAGACAUUUCUCCAAAUUACAUAAAAAGCCGUUUUGUAGAAGUCUGUUUAGAACCUUUUUCAUCUGUUAAUGAUGUGUUUCUUUGUUCUUGUCAUAAAUCAAGCUAUCAUCAUUAAUCAGAUCUUGGAAGACAGCCGGAGGGUUACAUUGCCCAAAAGUCAUCACAGUGUACUCAUAGUGGCCAUUUUGGGUAUUGAAGGUUUAUUCAUCCCCUUUGCAAAUUUUGAUCAAAUUAUAUGCCCCUCUCAGAUCUAAUUUGGUGAACACUGUGGAACCAUUUAAUCUGUCCAAAAACUCUGUUAUCAAAGAUAUCGAAUAAGCAUUUCUUACAUUGAUCUUAUGCAAUCCUCAAUAAUCUAUGCAAGGUCUAAGAUCUCCUUUUUUAGAGACAAAGAAAAAUCCUGCCCCAGCUAAAGAAGACAACCUUCAAAUGAAAUCUUUUUUAAAAUUUUCCUUUAUGUAUUCCUGUAAUACUAUGUUUCUCCCCUUAAAUUCACUUGAGAAAGCCCUAAGGGGAGAAAAGUGUUGUGGUUUUUUAAUUGCUGUAUUUUAUUAAAAGUAUUUUGACCAUAUAGACCUCUUACAAAAUAGUACUUGGUACCUGUUGGGAUAUACUGCACCAUUAUUUGCUGUCUUUUUAUUUUUUCAUACGGAUAUCACGAAUAUCCCAUGCCCAUACCUUACUGAGGAAUACUAUACCUGACAAGAUUGUGAUUGACUUCUUAUACAAUGUUUUAUUUUGACUUUUUGCUGUAUUUAUCAGGCAUAGACUUUUUU
Pelobates cultripes (western spadefoot toad) is the source of this 1473-nucleotide non-coding RNA. Lineage: Eukaryota; Metazoa; Chordata; Amphibia; Anura; Pelobatidae. The record is from the annotation of a GenBank genome assembly.